RNAcentral lists this ribosomal RNA (253 nucleotides) under uncultured bacterium. RNAcentral's name for it is "partial 16S ribosomal RNA". It matches the Rfam family "Bacterial small subunit ribosomal RNA", at positions 524 to 776 of the family's 1533-position model. The record is from RNAcentral.
UACGUAGGGUGCGAGCGUUGUCCGGAAUUAUUGGGCGUAAAGAGCUCGUAGGCGGCUUGUUGCGUCGGAUGUGAAAGCCCGGGGCUUAACUCCGGGUCUGCAUUCGAUACGGGCAGGCUAGAGUUCGGUAGGGGAGAUCGGAAUUCCUGGUGUAGCGGUGAAAUGCGCAGAUAUCAGGAGGAACACCGGUGACGAAGGCGGAUCUCUGGGCCGAUACUGACGCUGAGGAGCGAAAGCGUGGGGAGCGAACAGG